UUUGACCUCAAAUCAGGUGGGACUACCCGCUGAACUUAAGCA
Molecule: ribosomal RNA, 42 nt
Filed under: Stereum hirsutum
Lineage: Eukaryota; Fungi; Basidiomycota; Agaricomycetes; Russulales; Stereaceae
Also listed under: 1 other name
Description: partial 28S ribosomal RNA
Source: RNAcentral